GACGAACGCUGGCGGCGUGCUUAACACAUGCAAGUCGAACGGAAAGGCCUGCUUUCCCUUGUGGACUGCGGGUACUCGAGUGGCGAACGGGUGAGUAACACGUGAGUGAUCUGCCCCCAACUUGGGUAUAAGCCUGGGAAACUGGGUCUAAUUCCCGAUAGGACUGCAGGGUGGUGCCUGUGGUGGAAAACGAUUUUCUAGUGGUUGGGGAUGAGCUCGCGGCCUAUCAGCUUGUUGGUGGGGUAAUGGCCUACCAAGGCGGCGACGGGUAGCCGGCCUGAGGGGGUGGACGGCCACAUUGGGACUGAGAUACGGCCCAGACUCCUACGGGAGGCAGCAGUGGGGAAUAUUGCACAAUGGGCGGAAGCCUGAUGCAGCGACGCCGCGUGGGGGAUGACGGCCUUCGGGUUGUAAACUCCUUUCGACCGCGAGGAAGCCACCUGGUUGGAAGGGUGGUGACGGUAGUGGUAGAAGAAGCACCGGCUAACUACGUG
This 494-nucleotide ribosomal RNA is filed under the name uncultured bacterium. Its description in RNAcentral is "partial 16S ribosomal RNA". It matches the Rfam family "Bacterial small subunit ribosomal RNA", at positions 28 to 507 of the family's 1533-position model. The record is from RNAcentral.